This 253-nucleotide ribosomal RNA is filed under the name uncultured bacterium. RNAcentral describes it as "partial 16S ribosomal RNA". It matches the Rfam family "Bacterial small subunit ribosomal RNA", at positions 524 to 776 of the family's 1533-position model. The record is from RNAcentral.
CACGUAGGGUGCGAGCGUUGUCCGGAAUUAUUGGGCGUAAAGAGCUCGUAGGCGGUCCGUCACGUCGGAUGUGAAAUUCCAGGGCUCAACCCUGGACCUGCAUUCGAUACGGGCGGACUAGAGUUCGGUAGGGGAGACUGGAAUUCCUGGUGUAGCGGUGAAAUGCGCAGAUAUCAGGAGGAACACCGGUGGCGAAGGCGGGUCUCUGGGCCGAUAUUGACGCUGAGGAGCGAAAGCGUGGGGAGCGAACAGG